RNAcentral lists this transfer RNA (124 nucleotides) under Planctomycetota bacterium. RNAcentral describes it as "Planctomycetes bacterium (activated sludge metagenome) tRNA-Thr". It matches the Rfam family "tRNA". From Rfam's summary of the family: Transfer RNA (tRNA) molecules are approximately 80 nucleotides in length. Their secondary structure includes four short double-helical elements and three loops (D, anti-codon, and T loops). The record is from RNAcentral. Lineage: Bacteria; Pseudomonadati; Planctomycetota.
GCCAAGAUAGCUCAACUGGUAGAGCACUAAAAGUCCAUUCCGGCAACUUAUCCCUCUGGGGUCGAAUGUGAAUGGGUUAUCGACUUGUAAUCGAGGGUUCUUGGUUCGAAUCCAAGUCUUGGCA